RNAcentral lists this ribosomal RNA (413 nucleotides) under uncultured bacterium. RNAcentral describes it as "bacterial SSU rRNA". It matches the Rfam family "Bacterial small subunit ribosomal RNA", at positions 97 to 507 of the family's 1533-position model. The record is from RNAcentral.
GGCGAACGGGUGAGUAAUGCAUCGGAACGUGCCAUUGAGUGGGGGUAACGUAGCGAAAGUUACGCUAAUACCGCAUAUUCUGUGAGCAGGAAAGCAGGGGAUCGCAAGACCUUGCGCUCUUUGAGCGGCCGAUGUCAGAUUAGCUAGUUGGUGAGGUAACGGCUUACCAAGGCGACGAUCUGUAGCGGGUCUGAGAGGAUGAUCCGCCACACUGGAACUGAGACACGGUCCAGACUCCUACGGGAGGCAGCAGUGGGGAAUUUUGGACAAUGGGGGCAACCCUGAUCCAGCCAUGCCGCGUGAGUGAAGAAGGCCUUCGGGUUGUAAAGCUCUUUCGGCCGGGAAGAAAUCGCAUGGGUUAAUACCCUGUGUGGAUGACGGUACCGGCAUAAGAAGCACCGGCUAACUACGUG